RNAcentral lists this ribosomal RNA (253 nucleotides) under uncultured bacterium. RNAcentral describes it as "partial 16S ribosomal RNA". It matches the Rfam family "Bacterial small subunit ribosomal RNA", at positions 524 to 776 of the family's 1533-position model. The record is from RNAcentral.
UACGGAGAGUGCAAGCGUUGCUCGGAAUCACUGGGCGUAAAGGGCGUGUAGGCGGUCCGCUAAGUCUGAUGUGAAAGCCCGGGGCUCACCCCCGGAAGGGCAUUGGAAACUGGCGGACUCGAGUCCCGGAGAGGAAGGUGGAAUUCCUGGUGUAGCGGUGAAAUGCGUAGAUAUCAGGAGGAAUACCGGUGGCGAAGGAGGCCUUCGGGACGGUGACUGACGAUGAGACGAGAAAGCGUGGGGAGCAAACAGG